Molecule: transfer RNA, 75 nt
Filed under: Mus musculus (house mouse)
Lineage: Eukaryota; Metazoa; Chordata; Mammalia; Rodentia; Muridae
Also listed under: 1 other name
Rfam family: tRNA
About the family: Transfer RNA (tRNA) molecules are approximately 80 nucleotides in length. Their secondary structure includes four short double-helical elements and three loops (D, anti-codon, and T loops).
Source: Rfam by way of RNAcentral
GUGGAGAUGGCUCAGUGAGCAAGAGCACUUGCUGGCCAAGUGUGAGGACCUGAGUUCGAAUCCCCAGUAUCCACA